Molecule: ribosomal RNA, 259 nt
Filed under: uncultured prokaryote
Description: partial 16S ribosomal RNA
Rfam family: Bacterial small subunit ribosomal RNA
Source: RNAcentral
UACGGAGGAUGCGAGCGUUGUCCGGAAUUACUGGGCGUAAAGAGCUCGUAGGUGGUUUGUCGCGUCGUCCGUGAAAUCCCAUGGCUUAACUGUGGGCGUGCGGGCGAUACGGGCAGACUUGAGUACUGCAGGGGAGACUGGAAUUCCUGGUGUAGCGGUGGAAUGCGCAGAUAUCAGGAGGAACACCGGUGGCGAAGGCGGGUCUCUGGGCAGUAACUGACGCUGAGGAGCGAAAGCGUGGAGAGCGAACAGGAUUAGA